UACGGGAGGCAGCAGUGGGGAAUAUUGCACAAUGGGGGGAACCCUGAUGCAGCAACGCCGCGUGGGUGAAGAAGUAUUUCGGUAUGUAAAGCCCUAUCAGCAGGGAAGAUAAUGACGGUACCUGACUAAGAAGCUCCGGCUAAAUACGUGCCAGCAGCCGCGGUAAU
RNAcentral lists this ribosomal RNA (167 nucleotides) under uncultured rumen bacterium. RNAcentral's name for it is "partial 16S ribosomal RNA". It matches the Rfam family "Bacterial small subunit ribosomal RNA", at positions 340 to 524 of the family's 1533-position model. The record is from RNAcentral.